CCCUUAGAUGUUCUGGGCCGCACGCGCGCUACACUGUUUGAUUCAGCGAGUCUUAACCUUGACCGAAAGGUUUGGGUAAUCUUCUAAAGUCAAACGUGAUGGGGAUCGAUCAUUGCAAUUAUUGAUCGUGAACGAGGAAUUCCUAGUAAAUGCAAGUCAUCAGCUUGCGUUGAUUACGUCCCUGCCCAUUGUACACACCGCCCGUCGCUACUACCGAUUGAAUGGUUUAGUGAGAUCUCCGGAUUGGCUCUGUAGGUCCCGCAAGGGAUUUAUUAGUAGCCAAGAAGCUGCUCAAACUUGAUCAUUUAGAGGAAGUAAAAGUCGUAACA
RNAcentral lists this ribosomal RNA (329 nucleotides) under uncultured eukaryote. RNAcentral's name for it is "partial 18S ribosomal RNA". It matches the Rfam family "Eukaryotic small subunit ribosomal RNA", at positions 1470 to 1796 of the family's 1831-position model. The record is from RNAcentral.